Non-coding RNA from Potamilus streckersoni, 79 nucleotides. NCBI's taxonomy places the organism in Eukaryota, Metazoa, Mollusca, Bivalvia, Unionida, Unionidae. The record is from the annotation of a GenBank genome assembly.
CCGGUGGCCUAGUGGUUAGAGCGUCCGCCUUAGAUGCGGGAGGUCGUGGGUUCGUCAAGGUGGAGUCAUACCAAAGAGU